AACGAACGCUGGCGGCAGGCUUAACACAUGCAAGUCGAGCGCGCGCCUUCGGGCGUGAGCGGCGGACGGGUGAGUAACGCGUGGGAACGUGGCCUCUUCUUCGGAAUAGCCCUGGGAAACUGGGAGUAAUGCCGGAUACGCCCCCCGAUCAAAUUCCAUUUGAUUGGCGAACUUUACGAAUCGUCGGAUUCCAGGAGUGGAAUUUGAUGGGGGGGAAAGAUUUAUCGGAGGAGGAUCGGCCCGCGUCGGAUUAGGUAGUUGGUGGGGUAACGGCCUACCAAGCCGACGAUCCGUAGCUGGUUUGAGAGGAUGAUCAGCCACACUGGGACGGAGACACGGCCCAGACUCCUACGGGAGGCAGCAGUGGGGAAUCUUGGGCAAUGGGGGCAACCCUGACCCAGCCAUGCCGCGUGAGCGAUGAAGGCCUUAGGGUUGUAAAGCUCUUUCAGCGGGGAAGAUAAUGACGGUACCCGCAGAAGAAGCCCCGGCUAACUCCGUGCCAGCAGCCGCUGUAACAC
RNAcentral lists this ribosomal RNA (518 nucleotides) under uncultured bacterium. RNAcentral's name for it is "bacterial SSU rRNA". It matches the Rfam family "Bacterial small subunit ribosomal RNA", at positions 28 to 526 of the family's 1533-position model. The record is from RNAcentral.